Molecule: ribosomal RNA, 697 nt
Filed under: Thalassobius sp. MED605
Lineage: Bacteria; Pseudomonadati; Pseudomonadota; Alphaproteobacteria; Rhodobacterales; Roseobacteraceae
Description: bacterial SSU rRNA
Rfam family: Bacterial small subunit ribosomal RNA
Source: RNAcentral
UCUGGAAACGGAGAGUAAUACCUUAUACGCCCUUCGGGGGAAAGAUUUAUCGGUGACGGAUUAGCCCGCGUUAGAUUAGAUAGUUGGUGGGGUAAUGGCCUACCAAGUCUACGAUCUAUAGCUGGUUUUAGAGGAUGAUCAGCAACACUGGGACUGAGACACGGCCCAGACUCCUACGGGAGGCAGCAGUGGGGAAUCUUGGACAAUGGGCGCAAGCCUGAUCCAGCCAUGCCGCGUGAGUGAUGAAGGCCUUAGGGUCGUAAAGCUCUUUCGCCAGAGAUGAUAAUGACAGUAUCUGGUAAAGAAACCCCGGCUAACUCCGUGCCAGCAGCCGCGGUAAUACGGAGGGGGUUAGCGUUGUUCGGAAUUACUGGGCGUAAAGCGCGCGUAGGCGGGCUAGUAAGUUAGAGGUGAAAUCCCAGGGCUCAACCCUGGAACUGCCUUUAAUACUGCUAGUCUUGAGUUCGAGAGAGGUGAGUGGAAUUCCGAGUGUAGAGGUGAAAUUCGUAGAUAUUCGGAGGAACACCAGUGGCGAAGGCGGCUCACUGGCUCGAUACUGACGCUGAGGUGCGAAAGUGUGGGGAGCAAACAGGAUUAGAUACCCUGGUAGUCCACACCGUAAACGAUGAAUGCCAGUCGUCGGGUAGCAUGCUAUUCGGUGACACACCUAACGGAUUAAGCAUUCCGCCUGGGGAGU